Long non-coding RNA from Acanthochromis polyacanthus (spiny chromis), 2001 nucleotides. RefSeq lists it as uncharacterized. Lineage: Eukaryota; Metazoa; Chordata; Actinopteri; Pomacentridae. The record is from RefSeq and is a predicted model, not a curated record. The transcript is spliced from 3 exons.
GUGACGUCACGAACCCCCCUCGUUCUGGCCCCUUCUGCAUUUUACGGCAUUUUAAACAAUGCCGGCUCAUUGCGCUGCAUUUAAUUGCACACUACGUCGAACGUUGGAGACAAGGAAACUUGGAAUAACUUUCCAUAGGUGAUGUGAUGUGUGCCGUUCAAGCUUGGUCAGAGAUGCUGUACCAUCAUUUAACGAAAGCUCCCACCUUCUAGCUCUGAAAAACAAUGGCGGCCUACUGAUUCCAUCACAAGGCACAGUUUGCAGAGAGGGUGAUUCGCCAGGCAUCAACAAAACAAGCUCCAAAGGUGUCAACAGUCACACACAUCGUCCGGGAGGAGAUUGGAAUGGAGGAUGUUUUUCUGCUUGGGGAGCACAUUGAAGAAACACAUCAUUCCAGCUUGUUGUCAUUGGUUGUGUUUGCCAAACUUACCUGUACCUUGACCUGCAGAAAGGGAGCACGAGAAAGAAGCUCUGCAAAACAGUCCUCUUUCAUCGGUUUUAGCUGUAAAAUGUUUGUACGUGUGUAAAUGUGGUUUGGGGCAGGGAUGUCAUGUUCUUAAUACAAUAACAUCAUCAUCAAACAACAAAGCCUUAAAAAUUUCAGACUUGUUUAUUAAAGUACUGUUUGAGUUCAUUUUCAAAGUAUUUUCCAUUUGGUUUUUCUUUGCCCAUUUCGUUUUGUGAAUAUGAAAUUUGCCCAGCAUGAUGAUAGUCUGCAACAAAAGGGAAAGGCUGUAAGGUAUGGAGGGAUUUUCAAACUGAAAGAGGAUGUGGCUCUCCUGGAGGCUGAUCCUGUGUCCGGUUUUGUUAUGGAUUAGGUUUUGUAUAUGAUUCCAGAGGUUUUUACUGUAUGAGCAUUGAUAAAAGAGGUGAAUGAUGGUUUCUGGUUCUGUUUGACAAAAGUCGCAGUUGUAGUCUAUAUUUAAUUUAAACCUCUCCAGGGUUUUUUUUUGCCGGAUAUACAUUGUGACAGAUUUUGUAUGAUAUUUCUUUGACCUUAUUGUGAAUGAGCAGCUUCUCUCCAACCAGCCAUGCUUCUCUCCAGUUUAUUUCCCCGUACAGUGAACUCCAGUAAGAGUUGGCUGCCGGUUGAUUUGAAGGUUGAAUGAGAUUCCUGAUAAAUUUAUUUGCGCAGACUUUGGUUGUUACACACGUGGACAAAAUUGUUGGUACCCCUCAGUUAAAGAAGGAAAAACCCACAAUUCUUACUGAAAUCACUUGAAACUCACAAAAGUAACAAUAAAUAAAAAUUUAUUGAAAAUUAAAUAAUCAAAAUCAGCCAUCACUUUUGAAUUGUUGAUUAACAUAAUUAUUUAAAAAAACAAACUAAUGAAAUAGGGCUGGACAAAAAUGAUGGUACCCAUAACUUAAUAUUUUGUUGCACAACCUUUUGAGGCAAUCACUGCAAUUAAACGAUUUCUGUAUUUGUCAAUGAGCGUUCUGCAGCUGUCAACAGGUAUUUUGGCCCACUCCUCAUGAGCAAACAGCUCCAGUUGUCUCAGGUUUGAUGGGUGUCUUCUCCAAAUGGCAUGUUUCAGCUCCUUCCACAUAUGUUCAAUGGGAUUCAGAUCUGGGCUCAUAGAAGGCCACUUUAGAAUAGUCCAACGCUUUUCUCUCAGCCAUUCUUGGGUGUUUUUGGCUGUGUGUUUUGGAUGGUUGUCCUGUUGGAAGACCCAUGACCUGCGACUGAGACCAAGCUUUCUGACACUAGGCAGCACAUUUCUCUCCAGAAUGCCUUGAUAGUCUUCAGAUUUCAUCGUACUUUGCACACUUUCAAGACACCCUGUGCCAGAUGCAGCAAAGCAGCCCCAAAACAUUACUGAGCCUCCUCCAUGUUUCACCGUAGGGACAGUGUUCUUUUCUUCGUAUGCUUGGUUUUUGAGUCUAUGAACAUAGAGUUGAUGUGCCUUACCAAAAAGCUCCAGUUUGGUCUCAUCUGUCCAAAGGACAUUCUCCCAGAAGCUUUGUGGCUUGUCAACAUGCAUUUUUGCAAAUUCCAGU